AAAAAAAAAAAAGAGAGAAAAAAACCAAAUUGAGAAGGCGAUGAGGAAGAAAUUGCGAGGAUUUCCACGCACAAUUCAAGAUUAGGGUUUCCUUCUCUUUCCUCUUUUCGUGUUCUCUCUCCUCUUUUUGUGUUUUUCUUCCUCUUUUCUUCUGCAGUUCUUCCCUAAUUGGGGCUUUGAUCUCUGACUUUUAAAUUCUCUUCCUUACUUUGAAAUUUGUUUCCUUAGUGAUUUGAUCGACUUUCUGAUGUUGCUUGCCUUCAAUUUCUGAAUUUGAAUGAAUCUUUAGAGCACGUCGUUGAAGAAGGCAGAGAUGGAUGAAGGAGAGGGUGGGUUCGGUGAGGGUGUGGAUCAGAUUGAUCAGUUCCAUCGGAACGAGGCCAUUUCAGCCGUUGCUGAUGAUGGUUUCUUGGGCGAAGAUGAGGAUGAAUACGAGGACCUGUAUAACGAUGUUAAUGUUGGGGAGGGGUUCCUUCAGUCGUUGAGGAAGAACGAUGGUUUGGGAUUCAAGAGGGAGGAGGAACCCAAGAUGGAGCCUCCUGCACCUGUACCACCCACUUCCGGUGCUUCCAUACCUGGUAUCGGUGGAGGUGCGACUGAAGUUACUGGUUUAGGAGAUGCCGGUGGGCAUACUGUUUCGGAGAGAGUAACAGAGGGUUACAACCAGAUUCCAGAUUUAAGAACAAAUGAGAUGGCUAUCAGAGGUGGGGCGGGAUCGGGGCCGCCUGUAGGUGGCGGAGUUGGGAUUAGGGUUGAAUUAGGGCAAGGGAGUAAACCCAUUGAGUUGGAGGAGCGAAGCAGCAAUAACGUAGCUGGGCAUCAGGCUCCGCAACAGCCACAGCUGCAGCCGCAGCCACAGCCGCAGCACCAUCACCAGCCACCUCAGAGCGGAGUCUUAGGAAAUCCUGGGAGUGUAGAAAAUGAAGGUCUGCUAAGGCAAGGUGGUGGAGUUAAUGUCAAUGGGGUCGGUGGAAAUGGGUUCGGUAAUGUAGGGAGUGCAGGGGGAGGUAGCGGUGGAACAGUUUUGUUUGUUGGUGAUUUACAUUGGUGGACUACAGAUGCGGAGCUUGAGGUGGAACUCUGUAAGUAUGGUCCGUUGAAGGAGGUCAAGUUUUAUGACGAGAAAGCCAGUGGAAAAUCAAAAGGCUACUGCCAGGUUGAAUUUUAUGAUCCUUCUGCUGCCACAGCUUGCAAGGAGGGAAUGAAUGGACAUAUCUUUAAUGGACGUCCAUGUGUAGUUGCAUAUGCAUCACCGUUUAGUGUUAAGAAGAUGGGAGAAGCCCAAGUUAACAGGAACCAACAGAUAGCCCAAGCUACUAAUCCUCAAGCAAGGAGAGCUCCUAAUGAUGCUGUAGGUAAAAUUGGUGGAAGUAGUAUUGCAACGGGUGGUAACUAUCAAGGUGGUGAUAACAAUAGAGGUUCUGGGAGAGGUAAUUGGGGAAGGGGUAAUGCUCAUGGAAUGGGUGGUCGAGGACCAGCUGGCCCAAUGAGGGGUAGGGGUGGUGGGAUCGGUGGCAGAGGUAUAAUGGGAAAUGGUGGAAAUGGAUUUGGCCAAGGAAUUGGUGCUACCCCUCCUUUAUUGCAUCCGCAGUCAAUGAUGGGUCAAGGUUUUGAUCCAUCUUUUGGUGCACCCAUAGGAAGAAUGGGUACAUAUGGUGGUUUUCCUGGAGCUCCGGCUCCCCCUUUCUCUGGAAUUUUGUCAUCCUUUCCUCCUGUCGGGGGUGUUGGCCUUCCUGGUGUAGCUCCUCAUGUGAACCCAGCAUUUUUUGGAAGAGGUAUGCCUAUGAAUGGAAUGGGGAUGAUGCCAACAUCGGGUGUUGAUGGGCCUAAUAUGGGAAUGUGGUCUGAUCCUAGUAUGGGUGGAUGGGGCAGUGAAGAGCAAGGUGGUGGGAGAGCUGGCGAGUCUAGUUAUGGAGAAGAAGCUGGUUCUGACCAGCAUUAUGGGGAAGGCAGUCAUGAAAGAGGGCCUUGGGCAAAUUCUGCAAAGGAGAAAGAUAGAGGCUCUGAAAGGGACUGGUCACAGUCUUCUGAUAGAAGGUAUCGAGAUGAUAGAGACGUUGGAUAUGAUAGAGAGAGGUCCAAAGAAAAAGAUCCGGGACCUGACCAUGACUGGCCAGAUAGAAGGCCUCGUGAUGAUAGAGAUAUAGGGCGUGAAAGGGAUAAAGAUAGGGAUCGAGAUAGGGAUAGAGAACGAUCCCGAGAUUAUGAGCGUGGCCAUCAUGAACGUGAUCGUGAACGUGAAAGGGACCGUGACCGUGAUAGGUAUAAGGAUGAUAGGGAAAGAUAUUCUGACCAUCAUAGGUACAGAGACCGGGAACCAGAGCAUGAUGAGGAUUGGGAAAGGGGACGGUCAUCAAGGACUCAUAGUCAUAGCAAGUCCCGUUUAUCACAAGAAGAAGAAAGUCGUUCAAGAUCCAGAGAUGCUGAUUAUGGGAAGAGGCGGAGGCUUACUUCUGAAUAGUUGAACCAUUCAGCGUACAUGCUUUAAACUCUAUAGAGAGCAUGGUCUGAUUUGGUGCAGAAAAUAACUUAAAAGGGCAUUUGAUAGUGAAGAUUUGAUUCAGUGGAACAAAAGUUGGUACGGGGACAACUGCCAGGGGCCUUUAAAUUAUCGUCUGCAUUGAGAGACCCCAUGCAUGGCAAUGCCUUCUCGCUCUAUUAAUUUGAUAAAGAGACUUCUUGGUUUAAACAGUUCUCACGUUUCUUUUGAAUGGUGUUUCUUCUUGACUUCUUGGCACUUGAUGACAUUGAUAUUCUUGGUUGUAAUGGCUUAAAAUAUUGCUGGAGUCUCAGUCAUGUCUGAAUGUUAUCGGACAUGUAAUAGCUUACUAUGUUGUUAGAGUAACUUAGCCUGGAGGAUAUUGUGUUGUGCGUUAUUCUGUUUUAUGAGUUGUUGUAUCAUAUAUCCACACCUCUUUCCUUUC
Molecule: RNA transcript, 2924 nt
Organism: Cucumis melo (muskmelon)
Lineage: Eukaryota; Viridiplantae; Streptophyta; Magnoliopsida; Cucurbitales; Cucurbitaceae
Exons: 4
Source: RefSeq, a predicted model, not a curated record